Molecule: long non-coding RNA, 88 nt
Organism: Melanotaenia boesemani (Boeseman's rainbowfish)
Lineage: Eukaryota; Metazoa; Chordata; Actinopteri; Atheriniformes; Melanotaeniidae
Exons: 3
Source: RefSeq, a predicted model, not a curated record
UCUACAAGAGAAAAUGGAGAAAUGAGAGAUUAUUACACAAGUGUCAGAAUCAAGAUAUGUGUUACAGUGUCAGUAAAUUCACCUGAAA